ACAUGGACCCACUGGUCAAGCGGGCUCGGCAAGGCCAGGAUGAAGAGAAGCUACGAACUUAGCAUUCCCAGAGCCCCCCGAGUGGAUAUCCGCGUGGAAAGGAUGUUGGCAGCCCCGGUGACCUCGGAGUCACGGCUGGAUCCACCCUCUUGUCUGAUUUUCUUAACUCUACUACGGUAAGAAGAUGCCCUCCAUCAGCAGGCCGUGUCUGCUGGGACCUCUCUGGAGACUUCCUGAACCCUGUGGAUUUACAGUAAGAUGCAGUUUCCUGGGGAGUAAUUCUGGUGGAUACAAAUUCCGGAGUAUUACACCUGGCUUGCCUGGAGAUGUUACAAGUAGCUGGAUGGAUUCUUCAGCCUGGAUGCCCACUGAAAACAAGGACCGAAACUAAGAGGAUUGUAUCUCUACCCUUGACUCAAUGAGAAUGUUUGUUGUCAUCUCUCGGGCUACCUGGAGCUCCCUCUAAAAUAGAGCCGAGUUCUGUCACCACAGACAUUGGCAGUGGCACUUGCAUGCCCCUGGCAAGCAGUCUAUCCUGAGGUGGAGGAAGUUGCCCUUGAGUUCUGGCUGGUAACCAGCACAGGGGCUGGGACACUGCCUGAUUGAGGUGGCCAUUGAGAAUUCAAGUGUACCUCUUGGUCCCUGAUGCAGAAAUGAAGUCCCCAGCAUGCUCAAGAAGAGCUUCCUUGGAGGAUGAGAGGCAUGGGAAUCUAAGUAUACCCUUUAAGCGUUCCAGAAGGAUUUUGAGAUCCUUUCCUAAAUCAAAGGUGGAAUAUUUGGGGAUUUGGAAAAUUGAGCAUUUUUUUCCCCACUUGCUUGACUGUAAUGCUAACAUGCUCUCUCUGCUCCAACCUGGAGAAGCCAGUCUCUCAGAAGAACCAGUUGUGUUACUUUGCUGUGAGAUGCCUGCCCUAAGAGAGGAGCAGAAGGUCGGAACGGGUCCUCUAAUGUGAUAAUUAGCUCCUGUCUUAGUGCAUUUGGCCUGCUCUAAGGAAGUGGGACUCUAGGCUGUGUGGCUGUGGAACAACAGGGGUUGAUUUCUCCUGGUUCUGGAGGCUAGGCAUCCCCGACUGUGUGCCACCGACGUCAUUAGUGUGUGGCAAGGGCCUGCUUUUUGACUCAUGGUCCCCUGUCUUCCAGGUCUAACCUGGGGGAUGAGUUUCAGACGUUAGCCCAUGAUUAUGGUGACACCAAAAACAACAACAACAACAACAAAAACGGACAAGGUUCUGGAGAAGGAACUGAGAGUCUUAUAUUCUGAUCUGCACGCAGCAGAAGAGGGAGAUACUGGGUCUGUCUUGGGCUUUUGAAACCUCAAAGCCCACCUCCAAUGAAACACCCCUACAAUAAGACCACAUCUGCUAAUCUAAAUCCCCAAGUAGUGGUAUUCCCUGAGGACUAAGCAUUUGAAUAUGAGCCUACAGGGGCCAUUUUCAUUCAAAGAAGCAUGCAUAUGUAUAAAGAAAAGCAAAUACCUGCAUAGAUUUGGCACCUGUCAGAGAAGAGGUAAAUUCAAAGCAGAAAAAGCAACCUAGGCUCUGGUCUGGUUUAUGGAGACACUCUGUUUUGGCCUCCGCUCAUUGCAAUGACAAAUUAUUAUCCUUGGCUUCAGGGUAAAAUUUUCUCAGAGUUACGGAUACCGAGAAGUUCAAGGACAAAGUAUUAACAGUUCAUUUUCUGGUGAUGGUGUCUGCUUCGGUCAUGGAUGUCUGUCUUCUUUUGUCAUCACAGUGGGGUCAAGGGUUCAGUGUGAGAGCAUCUAAUGUUUCUCAUUCUCCUUUAACAAAGAAAUAAAUAUUUAUGUUCCA
Molecule: long non-coding RNA, 1808 nt
Filed under: Mus musculus (house mouse)
Lineage: Eukaryota; Metazoa; Chordata; Mammalia; Rodentia; Muridae
Description: Pvt1 oncogene
Rfam family: Pvt1 oncogene conserved region 1 (bases 1-151)
Source: RNAcentral